This 421-nucleotide ribosomal RNA is filed under the name uncultured bacterium. RNAcentral describes it as "bacterial SSU rRNA". It matches the Rfam family "Bacterial small subunit ribosomal RNA", at positions 355 to 775 of the family's 1533-position model. The record is from RNAcentral.
UCGAGAAUCUUCCGCAAUGGGCGCAAGCCUGACGGAGCGACGCCGCGUGUGGGAUGAAGGCCUUCGGGUUGUAAACCACUGUCGUAGGGGAGGAAGGGCCGGUGAAGAGCCGGCUUUGACCUAUCCUAGGAGGAAGGGUGGGCUAAGUUCGUGCCAGCAGCCGCGGUAAGACGAACCACCCAAACGUUAUUCGGAAUUACUGGGCUUAAAGGGUGCGUAGGCGGCGUGGAAAGUUGGGUGUGAAAUCCCUCGGCUCAACCGAGGAACUGCGCUCAAAACUACCAUGCUCGAGGAAGACAGAGGUAAGCGGAACUUCGGGUGGAGCGGUGAAAUGCGUUGAUAUCCGAAGGAACACCGGUGGCGAAAGCGGCUUACUGGGUCUUUUCUGACGCUGAUGCACGAAAGCCAGGGGAGCAAACGG